This is a long non-coding RNA of Oncorhynchus nerka (sockeye salmon), 434 nucleotides long. RefSeq lists it as uncharacterized. The transcript has 3 exons. The record is from RefSeq and is a predicted model, not a curated record. NCBI's taxonomy places the organism in Eukaryota, Metazoa, Chordata, Actinopteri, Salmoniformes, Salmonidae.
CACCACUAAGCAAGGGGCACCACCAAGCAAGCGGCACCACCAAGCAAGCGGCACCAUGAUGACCAAGGACCUCUCUAAACAGGUAACUAUAGGUCUCUCCUUCGAUCAGAAGCAAGGGCGGUUCUGUGCUAUGUACAAGAUUGCAUCAACUACUCCUAUAAGCAAACAUGCGCAUUUAUCGUUUUCCAACCUCAAGCGAGAGGCGUCACUGGAUCUGUGUGACAAGGUCUGUAGUUGCCCUGUAUUUACCAGAAAAGGUAGCUCAUCCACCAUGGCAGAAGAGGAAGAUCAAGACUGUUGAUUGGGAAUAAGAACAAACAAUGAGGCAUGAGGAUUGGGUGUUGAGGGACCACUUGUCAAAUUGUCCAAGAUGUGUUUGUGUUAUGAUAAACAAUGAGUUUUUUGUUCAAAUAAAGAAGGUGAUACGGCAUUGA